AAGGAUCAUUGUCAAAAACUGCAUAGCAGAACGACCCGUGAACUUGUUCGUUUACCGUGGGCGCUCCGUUGUGUCACUGGCACACCGGUGCUGCUUCCUGCCGGGGUGCGAGCCCGUUUUCCUAUACGGUUGCGAGCUCACACCCAUGGCCCAAUAACAAACCCCGGCGCAGAUCGCGCCAAGGAAAUUAAGUAAAGAGAUUGCUCCCCCUCCUCCCGUUUGCGGGUUGUGAUCGGGGAAAGCAUCUUGCAUAUAACAAAACGACUCUCGGCAACGGAUAUCUAGGCUCUC
RNAcentral lists this unclassified non-coding RNA (291 nucleotides) under uncultured fungus. RNAcentral describes it as "partial contains 18S rRNA, ITS1, 5.8S rRNA, ITS2 and 28S rRNA". Lineage: Eukaryota; Fungi. The record is from RNAcentral.